UGGAGCACGUCAGCUCCUCCUCCCCAUACAGGUGUGCAGCUGGGAUAACCGAUGAUUAAUGCAUGUGUCUGGCCGGGCCUUCAGGGUAAUUUGAUUUGCUUGAUAUCCAGAGUGAUCACCCCUCUUUCCUUCCUCCCCACCUUCUUUUUUUUCCCUGAGUUUGUGGCAGUGUUUACCUUAGUUGGUGUUUUCAGUUGAUGAAUGACACUUGUUUCUGGCCUCCGUUUCCGCCCAAGUUGUAAUUAGAUUUUGCACGAGGCUCCUGUGAUUACGGACCUGGGCCUUCCUCCCCCAUCGGACCUCUCAAAAGUUACUCGGCUUUCCGAACUUUCCCCAGUUUUCCUUCCUGUCGUCCUCACCAGCAAACCCCGGUGCCGAUGGGCCGGCAGGAGGCCCCUGUCACCUCCGGGGGUUUAGGGUUUGUGCUGGCAAAAGCCACAUCCUGCUCCUGAUGGAAUCCAUUAGGCUGGAGGGACGAAUGGCUUCCCAGAGAGAUGCGCUGAUUUGCCGGAGGGGAGCCGUGCUCUGCCCCAGAGCUCUGCGGAGGAGGAAGCAGCCUGGGUGCCUUGGAACUGAAAGAAUGCCCACGCAGCCGAGACAGCACCGCCAGUGAAUUCACGGUCCGGGAAAUAGAUGAACUGCACCGACCCAGAAAACUCGCAAGGAAGAGAUUCGGAAGUGGAAGAGGGAGAAACAUUGGUCCUUAAGAAACUUCUAAGAGAAAUUUGAG
This is a long non-coding RNA of Herpailurus yagouaroundi (jaguarundi), 730 nucleotides long. RefSeq lists it as uncharacterized. The record is from RefSeq and is a predicted model, not a curated record. The transcript has 3 exons. NCBI's taxonomy places the organism in Eukaryota, Metazoa, Chordata, Mammalia, Carnivora, Felidae.